RNAcentral lists this ribosomal RNA (272 nucleotides) under uncultured bacterium. Its description in RNAcentral is "partial small subunit ribosomal RNA". It matches the Rfam family "Bacterial small subunit ribosomal RNA", at positions 26 to 291 of the family's 1533-position model. The record is from RNAcentral.
AGGACGAACGCUGGCGGCGUGCUUAACACAUGCAAGUCGAGGGCAUUUGGGGGCAACUCCAGGUGACCGGCGAACGGGUGCGUAACACGUGAGCGACCUGCCGUACCUGUGGGGGAUAGCCGGCCCAACGGCCGGGUAAUACCGCAUACGAUCGUUUGGGGGCAUCCCUGGGCGACGAAAGCUUGGCGCAAGUCAGGCGCAGGACGAGGGGCUCGCGGCCUAUCAGCUAGUUGGCGGGUAACGGCCCACCAAGGCGACGACGGGUAGCUGGU